AGAGGAUGUUUACAGCUCCAUGAAGGUGUAUCUCACAAAUGGUGGCUCACCGCGCUGCUAUAACGCCGCCGAUCCUCAGCUGAACUCCACAAACUGGCUUGUGAGCUACAUUGGCGUCUUCAUCAGAUACGUCAAUCUGUCUGACCUCAACUCUUUCGUGUCAUCUGACCAGAUUGGUGUGUUCUUGGAAAACCCGGAGAACCUUCAGCUGCUCAACAGCACCAUAACCAUCCAGUCCAGCGUAGCCAACUACUACGUAACACAGCUGUACAAUCAGAACCCGUCCUUCAACCCCAUCAGGCUGCCAGGCCAGUUCUUGUGUGGAAUUCCUUCAUUUGCAUUCGAGCUUCUAGGAGCAGACGACAGUUUGGUGCUCAUCCAGCAAAUCAACGUGUUCUGUAAUGGAACCGAGAGCCCUGAGAUCACGUCUGCUCUCGCAGCCAAUCUCCCUUCGCUCUCCUCCUCCACCAUCCAGCUGCUCGGCAGUCAGAGCGUGGGCCUGACGGAGGCUCAGAUAAGCUCCGCCUCCGCUGAUGUCAUCAAGGGCGCGCUGUCGACUCUCAGCGCCGUCGACGGCUGGAAUCAGGGCCAAGCCAACGCAGUCAUACAGACUCUCAUUCAGUCCGACUUUCCAGUGAGUCUAAAUAACACUUUCAGCUGUAUUUUCCCUACA
Molecule: long non-coding RNA, 673 nt
Filed under: Sinocyclocheilus grahami
Lineage: Eukaryota; Metazoa; Chordata; Actinopteri; Cypriniformes; Cyprinidae
Description: lncRNA (ENSSGRG00000011778.1)
Source: RNAcentral